Molecule: RNA transcript, 1391 nt
Organism: Magnolia sinica
Lineage: Eukaryota; Viridiplantae; Streptophyta; Magnoliopsida; Magnoliales; Magnoliaceae
Gene name: large ribosomal subunit protein bL21m
Exons: 6
Source: RefSeq, a predicted model, not a curated record
ACCAUUUACAGUCUGCCAGAGUAUGAAAUGAUUUCCGAGUAAACCCACCUUAAAACCUAGGAAACCCCACCUCCAGCAACGUUGUCCCGUCCGACGCAGAGCAAAGAAUGGCGAACCGGCGAUGCAUCAAUGCCCUAAUAACCCGCCAUUCCUCAUCUCUACUCUCCCCAUCACACCCUCUCCAUAAAUCCAAAACCCUAGCUCUUCCUCUCCAUCACGCCCUCUACACACCCCACCUCGAAUCUCCUCCGUCAAUUCCCCUCCACGAAUUCCAUUCCCUCUGUUGCGGCCCUUCGAGCUUCGUCCGUCGCCAUUUCUCAUCCAUAACGAGGCAUUCCGACAAAGAAGGAGAAGGAGAAGAAGAAGAAGAAGACGAAGGAGAAGAAGAAGAAGGAGAAGGAGAAGGAGAAGGAGAGGAAGAAGAAGAAGCAGGAGAGAUCAGCGACGGAGAUGACGAUGUUCCCUCGUCGAAUUGCGUUGUCAAUAGAACGAAUUCAACGGCUGAGAAAGAGGAGGAAGCGGCUGCGAUCGGUUAUAAAGUGAUUGGCCCACUCAACCGUUCCGAACGACUGUUUAAGCCAUGGGAGCCGGUUUUUGCCGUCGUUCAGAUCGGUUCCCAUCAGUUCAAGGUCAGUAAUGGGGAUUCGAUUUUCACCGAGAGACUGAAACAUUGCGAGGUCAAUGACAAGUUGAUUUUGAACAGGGUUCUUAUGCUUGGGUCGACGACUCAGACUAUCAUUGGUAGGCCAAUAUUGCUGGAUGCAGCUGUACAUGCAGUUGUUGAAGAGCAUGCAUUAGAUGCGAAGGUAAUUAUAUUUAAGAAAAAGAGAAGGAAAAAUUAUCGUCGGACCAAGGGGCACCGCCAGGAGCUGACUAAGCUGAGAAUCACUGACAUUCAAGGAAUAGAGAAACCAGAAAAGGCAGCUGUUGCUGCUUAGGAACCGUCAUCGAUCUUCAGUUAGCAGUUAUGACCAUCGGCAUUAUAUUCUUACAUUGUGAUUUUGGAUUUUGGAUGUCAAGUCAGCAAGCAUCCUACUUGAUGGUUUGGAGAAUUGCAUGUCGGGAACUGCACAGUGAGGAAGCUUGUGAUGCUUCUGUUGCUUCAAUAUUUUCUACAUAGAAGGCUGCUGCCAGUUUGUUUGUUCAGGGUAAUUAAUGAUCUGUGUUUCCAAUAAAGAAGUUUUGCUAUUGGCAAACCUUUAUUUCAGGUCAAUCAAGACCAAGGUUUUACUUAAUGAUAUUGACUGGUGUAUUGGCUAGCUUGCUGGCCAACACUAAUGGCUGAUUUUAUUUUAUUUUUCUUUGGGGAAAAAAAAUCUAAAAAAUUAUUGAUUAAAUUCUAAAAAAAUAUUAGGAUCCCAAAUAUGUAUUCUUGUUUGGAUUUGGACAUA